This 69-nucleotide ribosomal RNA is filed under the name Symbiodinium sp. clade A ex Stylophora pistillata. Its description in RNAcentral is "partial 5.8S ribosomal RNA". The record is from RNAcentral. Lineage: Eukaryota; Dinophyceae; Suessiales; Symbiodiniaceae.
AAUGGCCGCUUGAACGUGCAUUGCGCUCUUGGGAUAUGCCUGAGAGCAUGUCUGCUUCAGUGCUUCUAC